GCAUAUCAAUAAGCGGAGGAAAAGAAACUAACAAGGAUUCCCCUAGUAACUGCGAGUGAAGCGGGAAAAGCUCAAAUUUAAAAUCUGGCGGUCUUUGGCCGUCCGAGUUGUAAUUUAGAGAAGCGUCUUCCGCGCCAGACCGUGCACAAGUCUCCUGGAAUGGAGCGUCAUAGAGGGUGAGAAUCCCGUCUUUGGCACGGAUGCCUGGUGCUUCUGUGAUGCGCUCUCGAAGAGUCGAGUUGUUUGGGAAUGCAGCUCAAAAUGGGUGGUGAACUCCAUCUAAAGCUAAAUAUUGGCGAGAGACCGAUAGCGAACAAGUACCGUGAGGGAAAGAUGAAAAGCACUUUGGAAAGAGAGUGAAACAGUACGUGAAAUUGUUGAAAGGGAAACGCUUGAAGUCAGUCGCGUCGACCGAGACUCAGCCUUGCCUUGGCUUGGUGUACUUCUCGGCCCGACGGGUCAGCGUCAAUUUUGCCCCUCGGAUAAUGGCAAGGGAAAGGUGGCACCUUCACCGGUGUGUUAUAGUCUCCUGUCGCAUGCGAGGGGUGGGAUUGAGGAACUCAGCGCGCACCUUGGUGUCGGGGCUUCUGCCCACGUCACGCGCUUAGGAUGCUGGCGUAAUGGCUUUAAACGACCCGUCUUGAAAC
Molecule: ribosomal RNA, 647 nt
Filed under: Lactarius spinosulus
Lineage: Eukaryota; Fungi; Basidiomycota; Agaricomycetes; Russulales; Russulaceae
Description: LSU rRNA
Rfam family: Eukaryotic large subunit ribosomal RNA
Source: RNAcentral